UACGGAGGAUGCGAGCGUUAUCCGGAUUUAUUGGGUUUAAAGGGUGCGUAGGCGGGAUGCCAAGUCAGCGGUAAAAAUGCGGUGCUCAACGCCGUCGAGCCGUUGAAACUGGCGUUCUUGAGUGGGCGAGAAGUAUGCGGAAUGCGUGGUGUAGCGGUGAAAUGCAUAGAUAUCACGCAGAACUCCGAUUGCGAAGGCAGCAUACCGGCGCCCUACUGACGCUGAGGCACGAAAGCGUGGGUAUCGAACAGG
This 252-nucleotide ribosomal RNA is filed under the name uncultured bacterium. Its description in RNAcentral is "partial 16S ribosomal RNA". It matches the Rfam family "Bacterial small subunit ribosomal RNA", at positions 524 to 776 of the family's 1533-position model. RNAcentral also lists the same sequence under 1 other name. The record is from RNAcentral.